Molecule: ribosomal RNA, 491 nt
Filed under: uncultured bacterium
Lineage: Bacteria
Description: partial 16S ribosomal RNA
Rfam family: Bacterial small subunit ribosomal RNA
Source: RNAcentral
AGUGAACGCUGGCGGUAGGCCUAACACAUGCAAGUCGAACGGCAGCACAGUAAGAGCUUGCUCUUACGGGUGGCGAGUGGCGGACGGGUGAGGAAUACAUCGGAAUCUACUUUUUCGUGGGGGAUAACGUAGGGAAACUUACGCUAAUACCGCAUACGACCUACGGGUGAAAGCAGGGGAUCUUCGGACCUUGCGCGAUUGAAUGAGCCGAUGUCGGAUUAGCUAGUUGGCGGGGUAAAGGCCCACCAAGGCGACGAUCCGUAGCUGGUCUGAGAGGAUGAGCAGACCCACUGGAACUGGGACACGGUCCAAACUCCUACGGGAGGCAGCAGUGGGGAAUUUUGGAAAAGGGGCGAAAGCCGUAUCCAGCCAUACCGGGUGGGUGAAGAAGGCCUUCGGGUUGUAAAGCCCUUUUGUUGGGAAAGAAAAGCAGCAGGUUAAUCCCCCGCUGUUCUGACGGUACCAAAAAAAUAAGCACCGGCUAACUUCGU